This is a long non-coding RNA of Prionailurus viverrinus (fishing cat), 532 nucleotides long. RefSeq lists it as uncharacterized. The record is from RefSeq and is a predicted model, not a curated record. The transcript has 3 exons. Lineage: Eukaryota; Metazoa; Chordata; Mammalia; Carnivora; Felidae.
GCUCCUCCCCGGUCCAGACACCGAGCAGGUCACUUUAAGGGAGCACCGCUAGGACAGAGUUGCGACGAGCAAAGCCCGUGCAGACAAAGGAGCCGGAAGCGGAAGUGUGCGCGGAGGCUUCUGGGAAAUGUAGUCCCUCCCUGCCCCGCGCGGGGACGGCCUGCCUCCGCCGUGGCCUCCCCGGCUCCCGCGUGUGCUGCGCUCAGAGACAAGCCGUCGCACGGCCCUAAGAAGCCAACCUCUCCAUGAUAGGCCCAUCAGAAUGUGCUUCUACUCGGUUCUACUGGGACAAGACUGAAGCUGGUUGAGCUGUUGGUGUCUUCGUUGUCACUUCCAGAAGCAGAAGGUGCUGAGAAGGUGAAUACUCCAACUUCUAGAACAAACCCGCAGGCUUACCACGGCCUUUACCACCCACCCCGCUUCCAUAGAGGAGGAGAAUCUCUAUGCAAAUACAGCCUAUUCCGUCUUCAUAUCUAUGCCCUGGAUCCUGUCUUUCUAAGCUCUUUUCUACCCAGAAUACACAUCUGACUCU